GAUGAACGCUGGCGGCGUGCCUAAUACAUGCAAGUCGAGCGAACGGACGAGAAGCUUGCUUUUCUGAUGUUAGCGGCGGACGGGUGAGUAACACGUGGAUAACCUACCUAUAAGACUGGGAUAACUUCGGGAAACCGGAGCUAAUACCGGAUAAUAUUUUGAACCGCAUGGUUCAAAAGUGAAAGACGGUCUUGCUGUCACUUAUAGAUGGAUCCGCGCUGCAUUAGCUAGUUGGUAAGGUAACGGCUUACCAAGGCAACGAUGCAUAGCCGACCUGAGAGGGUGAUCGGCCACACUGGGACUGAGACACGGUCCAGACUCCUACGGGAGGCAGCAGUAGGGAAUCUUCCGCGAUGGGCGAAAGCCUGACGGAGCAGCGCCGCGUGAGUGAUGAAGGUCUUCGGAUCGUAAAACUCUGUUAUUAGGGAAGAACAUAUGUGUAAGUAACUGUGCACAUCUUGACGGUACCUAAUCAGAAAGCCACGGCUAACUACGUG
Molecule: ribosomal RNA, 497 nt
Filed under: uncultured bacterium
Lineage: Bacteria
Description: partial 16S ribosomal RNA
Rfam family: Bacterial small subunit ribosomal RNA
Source: RNAcentral